Molecule: ribosomal RNA, 1358 nt
Filed under: uncultured anaerobic bacterium
Lineage: Bacteria
Description: bacterial SSU rRNA
Rfam family: Bacterial small subunit ribosomal RNA
Source: RNAcentral
UAGUGAUUAGAGUUUGAUCCUGGCUCAGGAUGAACGUUGGCGGUGUGCCUAAUACAUGCAAGUCGAACGGAGACAGUAGCAAUAUUGUCUUAGUGGCGAACGGGUGAGUAACGCGUUGGUGACCUGCCCCGAAGUGUGGAAUAACAGUUCGAAAGAAUUGCUAAUACCGCAUGUGAUCUUUGAGAUUAGAACCUCUUUGAUUAAAGGAGUAAUUCGCUUCGAGAGGAGCCUGCGUCCCAUCAGCUAGUUGGUAAGGUAAUGGCCUACCAAGGCAAUGACGGGUAGGGGACCUGAGAGGGUGGCCCCCCACAAUGGAACUGAAACACGGUCCAUACACCUACGGGUGGCAGCAGUAGGGAAUAUUAGUAAUGGGCGAAAGCCUGAACUAGCGACACCGCGUGUGCGAAGAAGGCCUUCGGGUUGUAAAGCACUUUUAGAGAGGAUGAGGAAGGACGGUACUCUCUGAAUAAGUCUCGGCUAACUACGUGCCAGCAGCCGCGGUAACACGUAGGAGGCAAACGUUAUCCGGAUUUACUGGGCGUAAAGCGCGUGUAGGUGGUUCUGUAAGUAGGGCGUGAAAGCUCCUGGCUCAACUGGGAGAGGCCGUUCUAAACUGCAGAGCUAGAGGAUGGUAGAGGAAGGUGGAAUUCCGGGUGUAGCGGUGGAAUGCGCAGAUAUCCGGAGGAACACCAGUGGCGAAGGCGGCCUUCUGGACCAUUCCUGACACUCAGACGCGAAAGCUAGGGUAGCAAACGGGAUUAGAGACCCCGGUAGUCCUAGCCCUAAACGAUGUCGACUUGACGUCGGUGGCUUAAUCGUCAUCGGUGUCGUAGCUAACGCGAUAAGUCGACCGCCUGGGGACUACGGCCGCAAGGUUAAAACUCAAAGGAAUUGACGGGUCCCCGCACAAGCAGCGGAGCGUGUGGUUUAAUUCGUUGCUACACGAAGAACCUUACCUGGGUUUGACAUAGCAGUGGUAGGGAAGCGAAAGCGGACCGACCCUUCGGGGAGCUGUUACAGGUGUUGCAUGGCUGUCGUCAGCUCGUGUCGUGAGAUGUUCGGUUAAGUCCGCUAACGAGCGCAACCCUCGUGAUGUGUUACAAGUGUCACAUCAUACUGCCGGUAUUAAGUCGGAGGAAGGUGGGGAUGACGUCAAGUCAGCAUGACCUUUAUAUCCAGGGCUACACACACGCUACAAUGGUCUGUACAAUAGGUUGCCAAGCCGCGAGGCGGAGCCAAUCCUAAAAAGCAGGCCUCAGUUCAGAUUGCAGUCUGCAACUCGACUGCAUGAAGUUGGAGUUGCUAGUAAACGCAGGUCAGCUAUACUGCGUUGAAUACGUUCCCGGGGAUUGUACACG